RNAcentral lists this unclassified non-coding RNA (365 nucleotides) under Hevea brasiliensis (rubber tree). The record is from RNAcentral. Lineage: Eukaryota; Viridiplantae; Streptophyta; Magnoliopsida; Malpighiales; Euphorbiaceae.
ACACCAGUAGGGAAAUUGAAAUAGAAGAAUCUGAGAAGGGACCUAGAGGAGAAGACGAGAAGAAGGAUAACGAGAAGAAAAACAAGAAAGAUAAAGAAGAAAAGAAGAAGAAAGUUGAAGAGAAAAACAAAAGUAGAGAUCUAGGAAAGUUGAAACAGAAAGUAGAGAAGUUAGAUGUUAAAAUAAAUGCCUUGCUUGAGAAAAAAGCAGACAUUAUGAGGCAAAUAAAAGAAGCUGAAGACGGAAAUUGCAACAUUGCUGCAAAAGCAGUGGAAGUGGCAUAACUCUGUGAGGUUGGUGCUCCGUCUUUUUCACCCUCAGCUUUGUAAAACAAAAUAUUGAGAUGUAUUCUUACAAGGUUUUCG